UCUUUGGCUUUCAUAUGAUAUGAUUAAUGUUCUAGUUUAAUAUAAUUUGUCUGCCUGUCAAUGACGAGUUAAGCAGUAUUUGAGCUCGUAUAACAUGUAUGCUAUCUGAACAAGAACUUUCUCCUGCAUGAUGCGAGGCUCCAUAUAAUGAUGAGAACAUCUAAUAUUGUUACCUUUGGUUGUUCUUGUCAUAAUUUCAUUACAGUUUGUAUUUGCAUUUGCAGAUUGGAUUGAAAGGUGAGCAGUCGAGCCUUUAUGGAAGUGAAGGUACAAAUGAUGCUCCAUGGGUUUCCGGCUCCGAACUACCCAAGAACCGACCUAUGAUAUGGUACAAGGUACUACAUGGGGAAAUAUGUCUCAUUCCUAUAUAGUAAUUUUUUUUAAAAAUCACAAGCUUUAUGGAUGCACCUAAUGGUUUCUGCCGACAUGGCCCUGACACAUCAAUCUGGCCUUGGUUGAAGAUAACAAAUCGCAUUGCUCCUCACAUUUUUCUUUGUAUGCUUGCUGCAGACAAACUUUGAUGCACCAGAUGGUAGUGACCCCGUUGCCCUCGACCUUACGGGGCUGGGAAAGGGUCAGGCUUGGGUGAAUGGGCAGAGCAUUGGACGCUAUUGGCCAACUUAUAUU
RNAcentral lists this long non-coding RNA (627 nucleotides) under Amborella trichopoda. RNAcentral's name for it is "long non-coding RNA (ATRI_LNC004629)". Lineage: Eukaryota; Viridiplantae; Streptophyta; Magnoliopsida; Amborellales; Amborellaceae. The record is from RNAcentral.